This 468-nucleotide ribosomal RNA is filed under the name uncultured bacterium. RNAcentral describes it as "partial 16S ribosomal RNA". It matches the Rfam family "Bacterial small subunit ribosomal RNA", at positions 28 to 507 of the family's 1533-position model. The record is from RNAcentral.
GACGAACGCUGGCGGCGUGCUUAACACAUGCAAGUCGAACGGAAAGGCCCUGCUUUUGUGGGGUGCUCGAGUGGCGAACGGGUGAGUAACACGUGAGUAACCUGCCCUUGACUUUGGGAUAACUUCAGGAAACUGGGGCUAAUACCGGAUAGGAGCUCCUGCUGCAUGGUGGGGGUUGGAGAGUUUCGGCGGUUGGGGAUGGACUCGCGGCUUAUCAGCUGGUUGGUGGGGUAGUGGCUUACCAAGGCUUUGACGGGUAGCCGGCCUGAGAGGGUGACCGGCCACAUUGGGACUGAGAUACGGCCCAGACUCCUACGGGAGGCAGCAGUGGGGAAUAUUGCACAAUGGCCGGAAGCCUGAUGCAGCAACGCCGCGUGCGGGAUGACGGCCUUCGGGUUGUAAACCGCUUUCGCCUGUGACGAAGCGUGAGUGACGGUAAUGGGUAAAGAAGCAACGGCUAACUACGUG